This 65-nucleotide transfer RNA is filed under the name Falcolipeurus quadripustulatus. Its description in RNAcentral is "tRNA-His". The record is from RNAcentral. Lineage: Eukaryota; Metazoa; Arthropoda; Insecta; Psocodea; Philopteridae.
UUUGUAAUAGUUUAUUUAAAACGUUGAUUUGUGGUGUCAAAAAAGAUUACUCUUAUCUUACUAAA